CAAACACUGAAAAUAGCUCAAGAAUUCAAGAAGAUGUGGAAGAGAUCUGAUCAGGCAGCACAAGCUUCAGGGUAUCCUAGUGCAAAAUAUAUUCUCCCACCUGAGCACUGGGUCUUUCCAGUGACGAGCUAUUUGGCAGUGGGAUACCUUGAAGUUUGUAGCGACAAAUGUGAAGAUGUUGAAGAGCUCGCCACCAGGGGGUUUUCCUCAGCUCUCUCCUGACGCUCCACCUUGCAGAUGUGUCAGCACACACCUGCAGAUCAUCUGAUCAAUUCCAGGAGUAUAAGAGGAGCCUCCAGCCAACACUUCCACGCCAGAGUGUUGACCCUUGUGGUUUGAUCGAGCCCGGAAGCCGGAUCAAGUCCGGAACCAGUCAAGCCCGCUAGCAAGGAUCCGGAUCUCCUCGCCCUGGGGGUCCUGACGCGGCGAGCAUCAUCAAGUCGGCUUCCCUCCCCCUCUGCUUCCCCGAACAGACAUUCUUCGGAACCCAGCCCCAGCCCCGAUGCUUCUGACCUGCCUGCUGUUCAUGGUUUCUCCAGCUCGUACCCCAUUAUUUUGUUUGUAAAUAAAACCCUUAAUCUUCA
This is a long non-coding RNA of Poecilia reticulata (guppy), 584 nucleotides long. RefSeq lists it as uncharacterized. The record is from RefSeq and is a predicted model, not a curated record. NCBI's taxonomy places the organism in Eukaryota, Metazoa, Chordata, Actinopteri, Cyprinodontiformes, Poeciliidae.